This is a long non-coding RNA of Gossypium raimondii (Peruvian cotton), 505 nucleotides long. RefSeq lists it as uncharacterized. The record is from RefSeq and is a predicted model, not a curated record. The transcript is spliced from 2 exons. NCBI's taxonomy places the organism in Eukaryota, Viridiplantae, Streptophyta, Magnoliopsida, Malvales, Malvaceae.
UUUAAUUCUUGUCCGAGAGUUUUUGCCUUGGUUUUAUUGCGACAAUGAAGCAAAUUGCUUCUAUGGUUGCAGGUUUCGUUUUGUCAGAGUAGUUGGUAUAUAAUCAUUUCUAUUUUAGAAAAAAAGAAAAGAAAAGCAAAUAUAUUAGGGGAUUCUCAUGAUUGAAUUUCUACAUUUUCAGGAAUGGCGUUCGUAUCUUGCAUGGUAGAAGACAAGAAUGCAAAUGGGCCAUCUUAUGUGGAGUUUCUUGUACAUAUUCAUCGGCAAAUCCAAAUGAAAAUGUCUUGAUAAGUUUCAAGCUUCCUCAACAACAGUUGGCUUCACAAGUAGUGAUGGCACUUGGAGAUCAAAAGCUGCACACAAACAUUGUAAUUUCAUAUCUUAUAUCAGUUAUUUAUUUCCUGGAACCCCAAUUUUGAGCUAAACAAAGGUUCUUAAUUGUACCCAACUUUGGCGGUGAGGUACUUGAAUUACUAAUAAUGCAAUUAUUUUCGGCUUUUUGUUA